RNAcentral lists this ribosomal RNA (522 nucleotides) under uncultured euryarchaeote. Its description in RNAcentral is "bacterial SSU rRNA". It matches the Rfam family "Archaeal small subunit ribosomal RNA", at positions 83 to 610 of the family's 1478-position model. The record is from RNAcentral. Lineage: Archaea; Methanobacteriati; Methanobacteriota.
CGGCUCAGUAACACGUGGAUAACCUACCCUCAGAUCUGGGAUAACUCCGGGAAACUGGAGAUAAUACCGGAUAAUCCGUGAACGCUGGAAUGCCUUACGGUUGAAAGCUUUAGCGUCUGAGGAUGGGUCUGCGGCCGAUUAGGUAGUUGCUGGGGUAACGUCCCAACAAGCCGAUAAUCGGUACGGGUUGUGAGAGCAAGAGCCCGGAGAUGGAUUCUGAGACACGAAUCCAGGUCCUACGGGGCGCAGCAGGCGCGAAAACUUUACACUGCGCGAAAGCGCGAUAAGGGGACCUCGAGUGCGUGCGCAAAGCGUACGCUUUUCAGAUGCCUAAAAAGCAUCUGGAAUAAGGGCCGGGCAAGACCGGUGCCAGCCGCCGCGGUAACACCGGCGGCUCAAGUGGUGGCCGCUAUUAUUGGGCUUAAAGGGUCCGUAGCCGGACCAGUUAGUCCCUUGGGAAAUCUUACGGCUUAACCGUAAGGCUGCCAAUGGAUACUGCUGGUCUUGGGACCGGGAGAGGCA